AAAGAAUACAUCUCUAAGCUCGUCCAAAAGGCAAUCAGCCAACAAUCAACAAAAGAAUCCAGUUGGUAUACAACAAGGGAUGGGGAAAGAGCAACAUAUCAACAAUCUUUCAACUAAACAAUGGGUUCAGGCAGCUUUUAAUCAUGAUUGUUCUCCAAAUAACCCUAAUAAUGAGCAACAAUUAGCAAACAACAAAGAAAAAGAAUUUGUAACAGAAGAAGUCUUACAAGAUGGUCAAAUUCCAGUUUUGAUGCAUAGUGAGGAUGAAAUGGGAGGAAAAACUUGGAAAACGAGGAUGAAAGGGCUAAAGGCAUUGAUAAUGCAAAUGAUAUUCAAAUCACAAUGGAAUGCACAAAUUCAGAAACAAAAAAGACAUUAGAGGGAAAUAUCAAUACCAUAGAUCCAGGAGGAAUUUUUCAUAUUGAUGAGAUUAAACUAUUGAGUGAAGCAGAAAAUUCAGAUGCAAAUCAAGAGCAAAGUNNN
This 483-nucleotide long non-coding RNA is filed under the name Nicotiana benthamiana. Its description in RNAcentral is "long non-coding RNA (NBEN_LNC012101)". Lineage: Eukaryota; Viridiplantae; Streptophyta; Magnoliopsida; Solanales; Solanaceae. The record is from RNAcentral.